This 229-nucleotide ribosomal RNA is filed under the name uncultured bacterium. RNAcentral describes it as "partial 16S ribosomal RNA". It matches the Rfam family "Bacterial small subunit ribosomal RNA", at positions 568 to 796 of the family's 1533-position model. The record is from RNAcentral.
CGCGUAGGCGGUCUUUUAAGUCAGAUGUGAAAGCCCGGGGCUCAACCCCGGAAGUGCAUUUGAAACUAAGAGACUUGAGUAUGGGAGAGGGAAGUGGAAUUCCUGGUGUAGAGGUGAAAUUCGUAGAUAUCAGGAGGAACACCGGUGACGAAGGCGACUUCCUGGACCAAUACUGACGCUGAGGCGCGAAGGCGUGGGGAGCAAACAGGAUUAGAUACCCUGGUAGUCC